Perognathus longimembris pacificus (Pacific pocket mouse) is the source of this 105-nucleotide small nuclear RNA. The record is from RefSeq and is a predicted model, not a curated record. NCBI's taxonomy places the organism in Eukaryota, Metazoa, Chordata, Mammalia, Rodentia, Heteromyidae.
GUGCUCACUUCAACAGCACAUGUACUAAUAUUGGGAUGAUACAGAGAUUAGCAUGGCCUGCUGCAUGAGAAUGGCCUGCAAAUUCAUGAAGUGUUGCACAAUUCU